This 358-nucleotide long non-coding RNA is filed under the name Zonotrichia albicollis (white-throated sparrow). Its description in RNAcentral is "lncRNA (ENSZALG00000006995.1)". Lineage: Eukaryota; Metazoa; Chordata; Aves; Passeriformes; Passerellidae. The record is from RNAcentral.
GAGAAAUCCUGGAAGGGUGGGAGUCUGGAUUUUGGUUAUUUGACCUUUUUUUUUUUUUUUUAGAAGGUUUUGCACUGUCCUCUCUCCUCACCUGAAUCUCCUGAUCUGUCUCUGGGAGGUUGACCACCCCUUGCAUGUUAUGCUGCUUCUUAAGGCCCCUUUGGACUUUUCAGACCAGCUUAUACCAAGAGUAAAGCUGGAAUUACCCCAGUAAUGAUUUGGUAAAGACUCUGGAGGCAGCUCAGUUAUCCAAAGGCAUGCAAUGACAAUUGUGGAUAUGCCAUGGUAUCCUGCCAACACCUCACUUGUUGAUUCAGAAAGCUGCAGGUCUCAGACCACCCAGGACACUCCAGGUUAA